GAGUAGCUGAGAUUACAGGCACGUGCCACCACGCCCGGCUAGUUUUUGUAUUUUUAGUAGAGAUGGGGUUUCACCGUAUUGGCCAGGCUGGUCUCAAACUCCUGACGUCAUGAUCCACCUGCCUCGGCCUCCCGAAGUGCUGGGAUUACAGGCGUGAGCCACCGUGCCCGGCCGACAACCUCUUGUAGGUGACCCGGUGUCUUCAUUUUCCUUUCAGGGACUGAGGAUGCUGGGCGAGACACCGUCAACACAAGGCUCCUUACCAGCCUAGGGGAAGACCAGACACCCGCAUCCAUACCCAAAACCCGGCAAGCCGCCUCCUGAUGAAAGCCCCGUGAAACACAAGAAGCAUUGCUUCAAAAUACUCCUGAAGAUAAAGGAAUCUCAGAGUAGGGCUUCUAUUAGGUAAAAGGCUUAUGAUAACCUCAUGUAAGAGGUUAAACAAAAGUUACAGGGCUUAGGCCAGGCACAGUGGCUCACGCCUGUAAUCUCAACACUUUGGGAGGCUGAGGCGGGUGGAUCACGAAGUCAGAAGAUCGAGACCAUCCUGGCUAACAUGGUGAAACCCCAUCUCUACUAAAAAUACAAAAAAUUGCCAGGUGUGGUGGCGGCGCCUGUAGUCCCAGCUACUCAGGAGGCUGAGGCAGGAGAAUGGCGUGAACCUAGGAGGCAGAGCUUGCAGUGAGCCGAGACCAGGCCACUGCGCUCCAGCCUAGGCAACAGUGUGACUCUGCCUCAAAAAAGAAAAGUUACAGGGCUUAGAACAGCACUGAGGGGACUGGGCGACUACUGGAGAGAGACCAACCAAAGACUGGGAGGACCCUGGAUUUCAAAGGGGAAGGAAAGAGGGACACUUUUCGACUUUCUCCUGUUUGUGUGGAUGUUGGAUUUUCUCCUGGGAACCAGACUGGCACAGAGAAAGGUGACACUGUUUCCUUUCCACUCCCUUACUCAGUCCCUGAUCUUGGCGCUACAAGUAUCAGUCAGAGUCCAAUUAGGAGACAGAAACCACACAGUAAUUCAAACAAGCUUAAUAUAAAUAUACCUUAUUAAUUACAACAUGUUACAGCGUAACAAUACUAUAAUAGAUUAUUGAGGAAUUGGCUCAUAAUAAGUAAAGAAGAUUGUAAAGAAUGUGGGAGGGCCGGGUGCAGUGGCACACGACUGUAAUCCCAGCACUUUGGGAGGCUGAGGUGGGUGGAUCAUUUGAGGUCAGGUCCAAAAAGCAUGGUAAAAAACGGGAAGGAAGGGGAGGGUCUGGGAA
RNAcentral lists this long non-coding RNA (1264 nucleotides) under Macaca fascicularis (crab-eating macaque). RNAcentral's name for it is "lncRNA (ENSMFAG00000060219.1)". Lineage: Eukaryota; Metazoa; Chordata; Mammalia; Primates; Cercopithecidae. The record is from RNAcentral.